Molecule: ribosomal RNA, 253 nt
Filed under: uncultured prokaryote
Description: partial 16S ribosomal RNA
Rfam family: Bacterial small subunit ribosomal RNA
Source: RNAcentral
ACAGAGGGGGCAAGCGUUGUUCGGAAUUACUGGGCGUAAAGCGCGCGUAGGCGGCUUUGCAAGUCGAUUGUGAAAUCCCCAGGCUUAACCUGGGAACUGCAUUCGAGACUGCAUAGCUAGAGUAUGGGAGAGGGAAGUGGAAUUUCAGGUGUAGCGGUGAAAUGCGUAGAUAUCUGAAGGAACAUCAGUGGCGAAAGCGACUUCCUGGACCAGCACUGACACUGAGGCACGAAAGCGUGGGGAGCAAACAGGA